Molecule: ribosomal RNA, 253 nt
Filed under: uncultured bacterium
Lineage: Bacteria
Description: partial 16S ribosomal RNA
Rfam family: Bacterial small subunit ribosomal RNA
Source: RNAcentral
UACGGAGGGUGCAAGCGUUAUCCGGAUUCACUGGGUUUAAAGGGUGCGUAGGUGGGCAGUUAAGUCAGUGGUGAAAUCUCCGGGCUUAACUCGGAAACUGCCAUUGAUACUAUCUGUCUUGAAUACCGUGGAGGUCAGCGGAAUAUGUCAUGUAGCGGUGAAAUGCUUAGAUAUGACAUAGAACACCAAUUGCGAAGGCAGCUGGCUACACGAAUAUUGACACUGAUGCACGAAAGCGUGGGGAUCAAACAGG